GCUGGGUAGGGCGGGAGGAGGAGGAGGAUCUGGGCCACAGGCAGUGGAUCCUCAGCUCCGCCCACGGCGGCAGGUCUCAGAGGACCGAGAGCCCGAGGAGAACACAGCCCCCACCCAGGCUUUAGCCAGUGCAGCCCUGACCGCAGUCCAAAGCCCUAUCGGCACAUGCCCUCGGCGCUGAGAAAACAGACGGCUGGACGCAGACGACGAGGACCACUCGGGUUCCACAUGCACGUUUAGGGUGGAAGGCGCGUUCCUGCUGCCCCGCCCCUGCCCUCACCUGUUCUUUAUACUGAUCGGCGUGGCGGCGUUCAUCCUCAACCUGCAUGAAGAUUUCCUUCAGCUUCUUCUCGCCAAGGGAGCUCCCAUGGGACAAAGCGCAUGUCUGUGUCACCCCCGACUCACAGGCUGGACCUGGACCUGGUCUGUAGCAGAGACGCUGUAAAAACCUUUCUUUGGUUUACAGCAGCAAAAAC
Molecule: long non-coding RNA, 476 nt
Organism: Physeter macrocephalus (sperm whale)
Lineage: Eukaryota; Metazoa; Chordata; Mammalia; Artiodactyla; Physeteridae
Exons: 3
Source: RefSeq, a predicted model, not a curated record